This 301-nucleotide ribosomal RNA is filed under the name uncultured bacterium. Its description in RNAcentral is "partial 16S ribosomal RNA". It matches the Rfam family "Bacterial small subunit ribosomal RNA", at positions 509 to 807 of the family's 1533-position model. The record is from RNAcentral.
CAGUCGCCACGGUAAUACGUAGGGUGCGAGCGUUAAUCGGAAUUACUGGGCGUGAAGCGAGCGCAGACGGUUAUUUAAGCAGGAUGUGAAAUCCCCGGGCUUAACCUGGGAACUGCGUUCUGAACUGGAUAGCUAGAGUGUGUCAGAGGGGGGUAGAAUUCCACGUGUAGCAGUGAAAUGCGUAGAGAUGUGGAGGAAUACCGAUGGCGAAGGCAGCCCCCUGGGAUAACACUGACGUUCAUGCUCGAAAGCGUGGGCAGCAAACAGGAUUAGAUACCCCCGUAGUCCCUGUCUCUUAUAC